UAGGGAAUAUUGCAAAAUGGGCGAAAGCCCGAUGCAGCAACGCCGCGUGGCGAUGAAGGCCUUCGGGUCGUAAAGCCCUUUUUGAGGGGAUGAGGAAGGACAGUACCCUCAGAAUAAGCCUCGGCUAACUACGUGCCAGCAGCCGCGGUAAAACGUAGGGGGCGAGCGUUAUCCGGAUUUACUGGGCGUAAAGCGCGUGCAUGCGGAUUGGAGAGUUGGAUGUGAAAGCUCCCGGCUUAACUGGGAGAGGUCGUUCAAUACUUCCAGUCUUGAGUGCAGUAGAGGGAAGUGGAAUUCCGGGUGUAGUGGUGAAAUGCUUAGAUAUCCGGAGGAACACCAGUGGCGAAAGCGGCUUCCUGGACUGUAACUGACGCUCAGACGCGAAAGCUAGGGUAGCAAACG
Molecule: ribosomal RNA, 402 nt
Filed under: uncultured bacterium
Lineage: Bacteria
Description: bacterial SSU rRNA
Rfam family: Bacterial small subunit ribosomal RNA
Source: RNAcentral